GAUGAACGCUGGCGGCGUGCCUAAUACAUGCAAGUCGAGCGAACGGACGAGAAGCUUGCUUCUCUGAUGUUAGCGGCGGACGGGUGAGUAACACGUGGAUAACCUACCUAUAAGACUGGGAUAACUUCGGGAAACCGGAGCUAAUACCGGAUAAUAUUUUGAACCGCAUGGUUCAAAAGUGAAAGACGGUCUUGCUGUCACUUAUAGAUGGAUACGGGCUGCAUUAGUUAGUUGGUAAGGUAACGGCUUACCAAGGCAACGAUGCAUAGCCGACCUGAGGGCGUGGUCGGACACCCGGGAGGUGAGAAAGCGGCCCGACGCCUACGGGGGGCAGCAGUCGGGAAUCUUCCGCAAUGGGGGAGAGCCUGACGGAGCAACGCCGCGGGAGGUAUGAAGGUGUUCGGAUCGGAAAACUCUGUUAUUAGUGAAGAACAUAUGUGUAAGUAACUGUGCACAUCUUGACGGUACCUGAUCAGAAAGCCACGGCUAACUACGUG
This 497-nucleotide ribosomal RNA is filed under the name uncultured bacterium. Its description in RNAcentral is "partial 16S ribosomal RNA". It matches the Rfam family "Bacterial small subunit ribosomal RNA", at positions 28 to 507 of the family's 1533-position model. The record is from RNAcentral.